CCUACGGGGUGCAGCAGUGGGGAAUAUUGGACAAUGGGCGAAAGCCUUAUCCAGCCAUGCCGCGUGUGUGAAGAAGGCCUUCGGGUUGUAAAGCACUUUCAGUGGGGAAGAAAGCCUUGGGGCUAAUACCCUCGAGGAAGGACAUCACCCACAGAAGAAGCACCGGCUAACUCCGUGCCAGCAGCCGCGGUAAUACGGAGGGUGCGAGCGUUAAUCGGAAUUACUGGGCGUAAAGCGCGCGUAGGCGGUCUGAUAAGCCGGUUGUGAAAGCCCCGGGCUCAACCUGGGAACGGCAUCCGGAACUGUCAGGCUAGAGUGCAGGAGAGGAAGGUAGAAGUCCCGGUGUAGCGGUGAAAUGCGUAGAGAUCGGGAGGAAUACCAGUGGCGAAGGCGGCCUUCUGGACUGACACUGACGCUGAGGUGCGAAAGCGUGGGUAGCAAACAGGAUUAGAUACCCCAGUAGUC
This 465-nucleotide ribosomal RNA is filed under the name Vreelandella stevensii. Its description in RNAcentral is "partial 16S ribosomal RNA". It matches the Rfam family "Bacterial small subunit ribosomal RNA", at positions 338 to 795 of the family's 1533-position model. Lineage: Bacteria; Pseudomonadati; Pseudomonadota; Gammaproteobacteria; Oceanospirillales; Halomonadaceae. The record is from RNAcentral.